UGUCACUUUGAAUAUUUUAUUUGCUAUCACCACUCUCCACUGACUUAAGUAUUGGAGGAUCUCCGUCAGAUACGAUUUCGAUUGGUGGACUUCUUUUGCAGAUUGCUCUACGUCGGAGCUAGGCGCAAUAGGAGAUUGACCACAAUAGAUUGGCGCACUAGGUCGGGAAUAGAAGCGAAGAAAUUAUGAUAAAAAUAAAAGCUCAAGAGAACUCCAUCGGCUCCGUCAGAUAAUCUUCUCAUCGGGAAGACCUCCUUCCUCCACCUUCAAUGGCAGAGCUCAAUUCUUUGCAUCUUGUUAUCACUAUGGACGCCCAACUCACUGCUUUAAUGCAACAAAUGAAAAUACUGACGAAGGCAAUACACAGUCUCCAACAAUAACAGACACAGCAGCAGCAAUCGACAGUAGAGGAGUUGGCAGUGCAUACAGUGCCAUCCAGGCACAGUUGCCAUGCUCCACGAUGAUCUCUUUCUCCAUUCUUAGAACGACGAUCGUCUCGACACUCUCACCA
This 511-nucleotide long non-coding RNA is filed under the name Elaeis guineensis (African oil palm). RNAcentral describes it as "long non-coding RNA (EGUI_LNC000383)". The record is from RNAcentral. Lineage: Eukaryota; Viridiplantae; Streptophyta; Magnoliopsida; Arecales; Arecaceae.